RNAcentral lists this ribosomal RNA (61 nucleotides) under Ilyonectria liriodendri. RNAcentral's name for it is "partial 28S ribosomal RNA". It matches the Rfam family "Eukaryotic large subunit ribosomal RNA", at positions 1 to 60 of the family's 3401-position model. Lineage: Eukaryota; Fungi; Ascomycota; Sordariomycetes; Hypocreales; Nectriaceae. The record is from RNAcentral.
UUGACCUCGGAUCAGGUAGGAAUACCCGCUGAACUUAAGCAUAUCAAUAAGCGGAGAAAAA